This is a non-coding RNA of Camponotus floridanus (Florida carpenter ant), 113 nucleotides long. NCBI's taxonomy places the organism in Eukaryota, Metazoa, Arthropoda, Insecta, Hymenoptera, Formicidae. The record is from Rfam.
AUUCUUAGAAAAUUUAGGCAAUAGAAAAACUUUUUGAAACGAUACAGAGAAGAUUAGCAUGGCCCCUGUGCAAGGAUGACACGCAAAAGAAAAUUUAGGCAAUAGAAAUGCAU